RNAcentral lists this unclassified non-coding RNA (348 nucleotides) under soil metagenome. Its description in RNAcentral is "partial contains 5.8S ribosomal RNA, internal transcribed spacer 2, and large subunit ribosomal RNA". The stretch from base 1 to 120 matches the Rfam family "5.8S ribosomal RNA", at positions 35 to 154 of the family's 154-position model. The record is from RNAcentral.
GAUGAAGAACGUAGCGAAAUGCGAUAAGUAAUGUGAAUUGCAGAAUUCAGUGAAUCAUCGAGUCUUUGAACGCACAUUGCGCCCCCUGGUAUUCCGGGGGGCAUGCCUGUCCGAGCGUCAUUGCCGCCCUCAAGCACGGCUUGUGUGUUGGGCCCCCGCCCCCCGGCUUCGGGGGGCGGGCCCGAAAGGCAGCGGCGGCACCGCGUCCGGUCCUCGAGCGUAUGGGGCUUCGUCACCCGCUCUGUAGGCCCGGCCGGCGCCCGCCGGCGACCCCAAUCAAUCUUUCCAGGUUGACCUCGGAUCAGGUAGGGAUACCCGCUGAACUUAAGCAUAUCAAUAAGAGGAGGA